UGCUUGCACUCUUUGGACGUCGACCGGCGCACGGGUGAGUAACGCGUAUCCAACCUUCCCAUUACUGUGGGAUAACCUGCCGAAAGGCAGACUAAUACCGCAUAGUCUUCGAUGACGGCAUCAGAUUUGAAGUAAAGAUUUAUCGGUAAUGGAUGGGGAUGCGUCUGAUUAGCUUGUUGGCGGGGUAACGGCCCACCAAGGCGACGAUCAGUAGGGGUUCUGAGAGGAAGGUCCCCCACAUUGGAACUGAGACACGGUCCAAACUCCUACGGGAGGCAGCAGUGAGGAAUAUUGGUCAAUGGACGGAAGUCUGAACCAGCCAAGUAGCGUGCAGGAAGACGGCCCUAUGGGUUGUAAACUGCUUUUGUAUGGGGAUAAAGUUAGGGACGUGUCCCUAUUUGCAGGUACCAUACGAAUAAGGACCGGCUAAUUCCGUGCCAGCAGCCGCGGUAAUACGGAAGGUCCAGGCGUUAUCCGGAUUUAUUGGGUUUAAAGGGAGCGUAGGCUGGAGAUUAAGUGUGUUGUGAAAUGUAGACGCUCAACGUCUGAAUUGCAGCGCAUACUGGUUUCCUUGAGUACGCACAACGUUGGCGGAAUUCGUCGUGUAGCGGUGAAAUGCUUAGAUAUGACGAAGAACUCCGAUUGCGAAGGCAGCUGGCGGGAGCGCAACUGACGCUUAAGCUCGAAGGUGCGGGUAUCAAACAGGAUUAGAUACCCUGGUAGUCCGCACAGUAAACGAUGGAUGCCCGCUGUUGGUACCUGGUAUCAGCGGCUAAGCGAAAGCAUUAAGCAUC
This 794-nucleotide ribosomal RNA is filed under the name uncultured Prevotellaceae bacterium. Its description in RNAcentral is "bacterial SSU rRNA". It matches the Rfam family "Bacterial small subunit ribosomal RNA", at positions 77 to 868 of the family's 1533-position model. The record is from RNAcentral. Lineage: Bacteria; Pseudomonadati; Bacteroidota; Bacteroidia; Bacteroidales; Prevotellaceae.